Molecule: RNA transcript, 1054 nt
Organism: Triticum dicoccoides
Lineage: Eukaryota; Viridiplantae; Streptophyta; Magnoliopsida; Poales; Poaceae
Exons: 5
Source: RefSeq, a predicted model, not a curated record
CCUCUCCCCCAAUGCGCCACCACCUCCUCCUGAACGCGCCGCCGCUCACCGCCCCACACCGUCGCGGCUGGCCGCCCCACCACCACCCCGCCUCACCAUGAAGGCUACCUCCCUGCACAUCACCCAUGCCUUCCGGUGCACGACGACACACUGCCCGGCGUGCCGUCUCCCCCGUUGCUUCCUCGCCUCGGGUGCUGCUCCACCUUCCGGUCCUUGACGAGCCCCUGUGUAGAGGCUUCCUCCUCCUCCUCCUCUCAGACUCUUGGACUUUCACAUGCUCUGCCUUCAUCAUGUCGAUCUGCAACCCUAUUGUUGGCUUAGUGAAUGCUCAAGACACAGCAGCUCCCAGGCCGUUCACCGUCGGCACCAUAGUCCGUUCACCACCGACACCCAAGGCCGUUCACGGACGCAACGAUGAGAUUUGGCCGUCGUCACCCACGACCGCGCACUCGCAUCGCUCCAGCUUCAAGUAGUGUCCUCCUCUAGCUGCAUGUCACGUUCUCCUCCAGUUGCAGGCUAAUGCUAUGGUGCACAUUCAAGGCAGCAAGCAAACCACAGGUCGCAGCACCGCUGUCGACCACAUGUGCGCAUGCAUGCGAUUGAUGCGUGUGUGCUUUAGGUAUAACUGCGGCAGGACUACAGAAAUCUGUACAAACAAAGCUCAAACCAAAAGCUAAUGUACGUGUGAUGUCCAGUUUCUUCCUUCGGUUCAGUUCAAUUUAAUCCGUUCAAUAUGUGCAGUUUAAUGGAUGAGUGUUAUCUAGAUCCUUUUAAUCUGAAGGUAGUUGCACCACUAAGGAAAGUAAAAAAACCAGUAUUUUCUAUAGACAAGAAAUGGGCAUUUGGCUCAGUAAUCGUCCAUUACUAGAGGUAUUGUCACUUGACCAUUUUCCAGAACUAGUUUCAAUUCGUGGACUCUACCGGCACUUGCAAAAUCAAAGAGGCUGACCAUACCAAAGUGCCCAAAGUUGAAGCAAAGGAGAUGAGAUGCUACAAAAAAGAUUGUUGGCAUGAUUCUUGAAUUGGGGACUGGAGUUCAAGUAUUAAAUCCAGG